AUUGGAUGCAGCAAGAUCGUGAUCAACUCGGAUAGCAUGGAGGUUGUGGAAGCUUUGAGAGCAGGCAACUCCUCUUCGGUAGCAAGGGCAAUUAUUGAUGAUUGCUAUUUCAUGUCGUCAGAUUUUAAUCAUGUAAUUUAUGAUCAUUGUAAUAGAGAGAGUAAUAAAGUAGCUCAUGAACUUGCUAGGAUAGUUAAGUUUUCUCCUUCUAUCUGGAUGGAUUCGGCACCAGAUGUACUGCUUCCAUUACUUGUAAACGAUGCCACUAUUUUGCUAAGUGAAUAA
RNAcentral lists this ribosomal RNA (285 nucleotides) under Triticum aestivum (bread wheat). RNAcentral describes it as "partial small subunit ribosomal RNA". The record is from RNAcentral. Lineage: Eukaryota; Viridiplantae; Streptophyta; Magnoliopsida; Poales; Poaceae.